This 1686-nucleotide long non-coding RNA is filed under the name Marmota monax (woodchuck). The record is from RNAcentral. Lineage: Eukaryota; Metazoa; Chordata; Mammalia; Rodentia; Sciuridae.
AUCUCUUUUGGCAACUUGGCGUUACUGUGACAUCUCAGCAAGUGAUCAGUGGUCUUGUCUCAUUGAACCUGGAGACAGGUAAGUUCAGGUGUCCAACUUGGAUAGGGAGUCCAUAUGGCAUACUCUGUGUACUAGUAAUACUGCAUCUAAUUCAGUCCCACCCUUUAGGCUAUUUACCACCCACCUGCUCCACCUCCUGGAGAUUCUUUACUAUGUAACCAAGAGAAUGCUUCCUGUCUUUGAAGUGAAAGUCCCAACAGAUUUGAAUUUUUUUAAAAAACUGCUCUUCACCUCAGAAGUUAGAUCUACUAAUCUUAUGAUGUGGAGACAUUGUUGUGCAGUAAUUAUGUAUAUGAUCCCUGGAAUGAGAUGACAUAGGUUUAAAUGCAGGUUCUGCUACUUACCAACUGCUUCCGCAAAUUGCUUAAUCUCUUGCAGCCUCAGUGUUAUUAUCUGUAAUAUGUACUUUAAAAAGUCUAAAAUUUCAGAGGGCCUUCAUAAAAAACUAUGAAAGGUAAUGCAGUUUACAGAAACUUGAACAUGAUGAAAUGUUAUAAUAAAUAUUUUCCUUAUUCUGGAUCAUAAAAAUUUAUGAUAUUUGCAAAGUUUUUCAAAACCUUCACAAUAGAGAUGAUUCUAUCAAUAUCCAACCUUGUAAAUAAACAAUCACUUUCAGUUAUAAACAUUGUUAAAAGAUAAUACAUAUCAGCUAAUUCCAAAAGUUCUUUAUUUUGUAUUUGUUUAAUGGGGGAUUGAACCCAGGAGCAUUCAACUAUUGAGCUACAUCUCCAGCCCUAUUUAUUUAUUUAUUUAUCUAUCUAUCUAUCUAUCUAUCUAUCUAUUUAUUUAAAUUUUGAAAUAGGACCUUGCAAGUUACCCAGGCUGGUCUUGAACUACAAUGUGAUCUUCCUACCUGAGCCUCCUGAGUAGUUAGGAUUAUAGGCACGCGCCAUUUUACCCAGCAAUAUUUGUUUUUUAAUGCAUGAUAUGAUAUGAGGGACACUACAUUUAGUUUCUAGGUGUCCAUUAAAAGCAGUUAUUUCUUCAGCUCAGCUUGUCUGUAGGUGAAAGAAGGCAGCCAGGCAGGUGCAUGUGUACAUUGCAUGAAAGCAUGAGGGUAGAGCUCAGUGGUAGCAUAUAUGCUCAGCAUGUGCAAGACCCUAGGUUUAAUCCCCAACAACACACACACACACACACACACACGGAGUUAUUUGAUGGCAUAUAUGUUGCCUACUUAUAUAUAAAUUCAAAAGACUUCAUAUGCAGACUCUUUUCUGCUGAACUCUAUCCUGCUCAUUCUUCUCCAUUUCCUUCUGUGAACUUUGUCAUCUGGAAGAAAGCAGCUACUCACCCAUGCAGCUCCGCAACUCCUAGAAAGAGUCAAGGAUUCCUGCACCAGAGAGGCUAGAUAAUGAUGAGCACCAGGCAGGCAGGACACACUGGCUGAAAAGAGAGCCCUGUGUAGGCAGAGAGCCAGAAUGUCAAAAGUAAGCAGUCCUUUUUUAUCUGGAAGGAAAAGCUUGCACUUAUCUGUACUAUUGGGGACAAGACUGUCACCAGCCCAACUCAGCCUUCAAUAAGUGGAGGGAAAAGGACUCCAAGAGGGUUUGUACCAUCUUUAUGGAUCUGAAUUAACAUUGUUCUAUAACAAAACUCAAAUGUGUAAACUGCAAAUCAAGGAAUCCA